CACAGGAGGCAAGCAGCCAGGAGACAAAAGGUCACAAAUGAUGAAGACCCUGUCCUGAGUACAGCCACCUGGAGACAAAGAAAUGGCUGCGAUGAAGCUGAUGCGGCUACAGCAAGUCAGCAGAGUUAAUCAGCCAAAAGCAAACCAGGAACACAGAAGCCCCACUAUGGAUUUCAGCAGCAGGAAUUCAAUGUGAGGAAUUUGUUAUGCUGAUGUUGGAGCACACAUGGAGCCAGAAUGGAACUCUGUCUUCUAAUCUAAUCUAUGUACCCAGCCUGAAUGUUCUUCAUAUAUACAUAUAUAUAUAAUUAACAUAUAACUAUGAUAUAUAUGUACACACACAUCUGUACAGUGACGUGCUUACCACAAUAUGUCUUGUCAAAUAUCCAUCACCACAUAGUUACACAUUUUUUUGGUAAUGAUAAUUUCAACAUUUUUCUCUUAGCAAUAUGCUCUCUUAGCAGUUUUUAAAUAUAUAACAUGGUAUUAUUAACUAUAGUAUUACAGUUAAUACCCACUAUUAUUAACUAUAGUCACCAUGCUGUACAUUACACCCUCAUGCUUUAAUUAUCUUAUAACUGUAAGUUUGUACUUUUCACCACCCUCAUCCCUUUUGCCCUGCCCCCACCCUCAGUCUCUAGCCACCACCAAUCUGUUGUCUAUAUCUAUGAGUUUGAAUUUUAACAAUGUUUUUACAUAUAUUUGAAAUUAUAUGGUAUUGGUCUUUCUCUGUCUGAUACUUCACUUAGCAUAAUGCCAUCAUGAUCCAUCCAUGUUGCCACAAAGGCAGGAUUUCCUAGUUUUUUUUUGGCAGACUAGUAUUCCAUUUAUAUACACCACAUUUUCUCCAUCCAUUCAUUUAUAAAUGGACACUUAGAUUGCUUCUACAUCUUGGCUAUUAUAAGUGAUUCUGCAGUGAAUGUAGGGGUGCAUAUGUUAAUGUUUUCAUUUCUUCCAAAUAAAUGCACAGAAGUGGCAUUGCUGGAUGUUAUCAGAGCUCCGUUUUUAAUUUUUGAAGAACUGCCAUAAUGAUUUACAUAGCUGCUGCCCCAACUCACAUUCUCAGCUACAUUGCAAGAG
This is a long non-coding RNA of Phyllostomus hastatus (greater spear-nosed bat), 1080 nucleotides long. RefSeq lists it as uncharacterized. The record is from RefSeq and is a predicted model, not a curated record. Lineage: Eukaryota; Metazoa; Chordata; Mammalia; Chiroptera; Phyllostomidae. The transcript is spliced from 3 exons.